CAAGUGUAGUAUCUGUUCUUAUCAG
Molecule: non-coding RNA, 25 nt
Filed under: Gallus gallus (chicken)
Lineage: Eukaryota; Metazoa; Chordata; Aves; Galliformes; Phasianidae
Also listed under: 4 other names
Source: RNAcentral